GGGGGAAUAUUGGACAAUGGGCGCAAGCCUGAUCCAGCAAUGCCGCGUGUGUGAAGAAGGCCUGCGGGUUGUAAAGCACUUUCAGUGGGGAGGAAGGUCUUGGUACUAAUACUGCCAAGAAUUGACGUUACCCAAAGAAGAAGCACCGGCUAACUCUGUGCCAGCAGCCGCGGUAAUACAGAGGGUGCAAGCGUUAAUCGGAAUUACUGGGCGUAAAGGGCGCGUAGGUGGUUGAUUAAGUCAGAUGUGA
RNAcentral lists this ribosomal RNA (250 nucleotides) under uncultured bacterium. RNAcentral's name for it is "partial 16S ribosomal RNA". It matches the Rfam family "Bacterial small subunit ribosomal RNA", at positions 355 to 597 of the family's 1533-position model. The record is from RNAcentral.